CAGGAAGUCAGGUGCAGCUGUUCUGCUGGUCUCUCAUGAUGACAACUGUUGAUUACACCUAAGGCGCUGUGUGGAACACCUGGGCUAGAAGCUGCACCCGUGGAAAGCUCACACCAAAAAUCCACAUGGCUGGGCACUGACAGAAAUUCCUUGAUAAGCCACUGGACUGGAUAGAGAGACUCUGAAGGCAAAGUUUUCAGCUGGACCCCCGCUGGCGGAAAAGGAAAAAUUUUAACUCUUGCUCUGGAGAAGAGAAAGGAGGAAAGAACUGGAAAGAAGACAAAAAAUAGAGAAAAAGAAGGGGGAAGACAGGGCGCCAGUAAGAGGGUUCUGGAUCCCUUACCCCCAAUUCCAAAAAUCCAAACAACCGAAGUUCUUAUCACUCACCUGGAGGCAAGCGCUGGACUAAAGUGAGAUGAG
Molecule: long non-coding RNA, 420 nt
Organism: Myotis lucifugus (little brown bat)
Lineage: Eukaryota; Metazoa; Chordata; Mammalia; Chiroptera; Vespertilionidae
Exons: 3
Source: RefSeq, a predicted model, not a curated record